This 114-nucleotide ribosomal RNA is filed under the name Betaproteobacteria bacterium. Lineage: Bacteria; Pseudomonadati; Pseudomonadota; Betaproteobacteria. The record is from RNAcentral.
CUUGGCAACCAUAGCGCACUGGACCCACCCCUUCCCAUCCCGAACAGGACCGUGAAACAGUGUUGCGCCGAUGAUAGUGCGGUAUACCCGUGCGAAAGUAGGUCAUUGCCAAGA